CCCGGGCAGAGGAGGCUGCCUUCACCGAGUCAUCCCCUUCUUUCUCAGUCUUGCCUAGCACCUCGAGGAAGGAAGAAACCACCUUCACCCUGAGUCUCAAGGUGAAGCUUCCACCAUUCCGGCACCCAGGAGCAGGCAGAGCCCCAGACUCUGGAAGGAGCUCUGCCACCCCGGGCUUUCCAGAAGACCUUUGGAGAUGAUCUCGCCCGCAUCAUCUUUCCCGUCUCAGGUGCCCUCAUCUCGGAGACGCUGUGGAGAGUACAGAGCAACCCAGUGUUCCCACAGCCUGUGGAAGAGGUUUCACAUCAAGGAAGCAGGCAGCAGGAGCCCCCAGCAUGCCGCGCCUGGCCGAGCAGCCAGGGGAACCCCAAGCCCACACCUCACGCUCCAAUGGCAACAACAAACGCAACUCCCGGAGGAACCAGCACAAAGCUCAGCAUCUGGGCUCCUCAGCCAAGCUCCGGAAGUGACUGUGAACACGUGCUCCCCCGAGACCCCAGGGCCUGCCCUCCUGCCUGCAACUGUGCCCCUAACAACAGAAACAAAACCCGUACAAGCCGCCGAAUUCCAGCUGCAUCUGCUAUCUUUAGGCAACCAACAGCUUGCAGGCCUCGGAGCUACACCAUGCAAAUUGCACCUGUGUUCGGUAAAUUACGCCAGAGGCAAAUUAC
This 671-nucleotide long non-coding RNA is filed under the name Heterocephalus glaber (naked mole-rat). RNAcentral's name for it is "lncRNA (ENSHGLG00100033611.1)". Lineage: Eukaryota; Metazoa; Chordata; Mammalia; Rodentia; Bathyergidae. The record is from RNAcentral.